Molecule: ribosomal RNA, 254 nt
Filed under: uncultured bacterium
Lineage: Bacteria
Description: partial 16S ribosomal RNA
Rfam family: Bacterial small subunit ribosomal RNA
Source: RNAcentral
UACGUAGGGUGCGAGCGUUGUCCGGAAUUAUUGGGCGUAAAGAGCUCGUAGGCGGUGUGUCACGUCGGCCGUGAAAACCUGGGGCUUAACUCUGGGCGUGCGGUCGAUACGGGCAUCACUAGAGUUCGGCAGGGGAGACUGGAAUUCCUGGUGUAGCGGUGAAAUGCGCAGAUAUCAGGAGGCACACCGGUGGCGAAGGCGGGUCUCUGGGCCGAUACUGACGCUGAGGAGCGAAAGCAUGGGGAGCGAACAGG